AAGCUCGUAGUUGAAUUUCGGGAUUAGUACGUCGGUCGUGCCUUAGGUACGUACUGGUGUUACUGGUUCCUACCUUCUGACGAACCAUCAUGUCAUUAAUUUGGUGUGGUGGGGAAUCAGGACUGUUACUUUGAAAAAAUUAGAGUGUUUAAAGCAGGCUCGCGCUUGAAUACAUUAGCAUGGAAUAAUGAAAUAGGACGUUGAUCCUAUUUUGUUGGUUUCUAGGAUUGACGUAAUGAUUAAUAGGGAUAUUGGG
This 256-nucleotide ribosomal RNA is filed under the name uncultured Glomus. RNAcentral's name for it is "partial 18S ribosomal RNA". It matches the Rfam family "Eukaryotic small subunit ribosomal RNA", at positions 624 to 885 of the family's 1831-position model. Lineage: Eukaryota; Fungi; Glomeromycota; Glomeromycetes; Glomerales; Glomeraceae. The record is from RNAcentral.